AGGAGGUGCAUUGGUUUCGAUUCCACCAAGUCAAGACAACUGAGGGACAAGUUCGAUGCGCUUUUCUCAGGCUUGUUCUCCUUUCCAAUAUAUUUCCCAGGGACACCAUUUUACCGAUGCAUGCAGGCCAGGAAAAAUGUGCAGAAGAUACUACGGGAUACGUUGGCGGAGAGGUUAAGUACACCAGGGAAGAAACAUGGCGACCUCCUUGACGUAAUUGUCCAAGAGCUGCAGGGUGAAGGGCCAUUAAUAAGUGAGAGUUUUGCUGUUGAUUUGGUCUCCACGUUGUUGUUCUCCAGCGUCUUCACGUUAUCAGGAAUAAUCGCUGUAGCAUUCAAAUCACUCCAUGACAACCCGGACGUUGUCCAUGCCCUCCAGAAAGAGAACCCAGCUAUGCUCAAGGAUCGAAAGGGUGGGUGCUCUGGGCUCACAUGGGAGGAGUACAAGUCAUUAACAUUCACUAAUCAGGUGACCAAUGAGAUUAUUCGAAUAAGCAAUGCCGUAGUUGGAAUAUUCAGAAGAACUCUCACCGAUGUACAAGUCAACGGCUACACAAUUCCAGCCGGGUGGCAGGUCAUUGUGAACCCCAUGGCAGUUCAUCUCAACGAAGAAUUGUUCGAAGACCCACU
Molecule: ribosomal RNA, 629 nt
Filed under: Triticum aestivum (bread wheat)
Lineage: Eukaryota; Viridiplantae; Streptophyta; Magnoliopsida; Poales; Poaceae
Description: partial small subunit ribosomal RNA
Source: RNAcentral